GGGGGUGUAGUUCAAAGGCAGAACGCCAGCCUUCCAAGCUGGUCAUGGGAGUUCGAGUCUCCUCACCCUCU
This 71-nucleotide transfer RNA is filed under the name Rubrobacter sp. RNAcentral's name for it is "tRNA-Gly". It matches the Rfam family "tRNA". Rfam says of the family: Transfer RNA (tRNA) molecules are approximately 80 nucleotides in length. Their secondary structure includes four short double-helical elements and three loops (D, anti-codon, and T loops). Further hydrogen bonds mediate the characteristic L-shaped molecular structure. tRNAs have two regions of fundamental functional importance: the anti-codon, which is responsible for specific mRNA codon recognition, and the 3' end, to which the tRNAs corresponding amino acid is attached (by aminoacyl-tRNA synthetases). tRNAs cope with the degeneracy of the genetic code in two manners: having more than one tRNA (with a specific anti-codon) for a particular amino acid; and 'wobble' base-pairing, i.e. permitting non-standard base-pairing at the 3rd anti-codon position. The record is from RNAcentral. Lineage: Bacteria; Bacillati; Actinomycetota; Rubrobacteria; Rubrobacterales; Rubrobacteraceae.